UGCCUAAUACAUGCAAGUCGAGCGGAAUGAUGAAGAAGCUUGCUUCUUCUGAUUUUAGCGGCGGACGGGUGAGUAACACGUGGGCAACCUACCUUGUAGAUUGGGAUAACUCCGGGAAACCGGGGCUAAUACCGGAUAAUCCAUUUUGCUUCAUGGCGAGAUGUUGAAAGACGGUUUCGGCUGUCACUACAAGAUGGGCCCGCGGCGCAUUAGCUAGUUGGUAGGGUAAUGGCCUACCAAGGCGACGAUGCGUAGCCGACCUGAGAGGGUGAUCGGCCACACUGGGACUGAGACACGGCCCAGACUCCUACGGGAGGCAGCAGUAGGGAAUCUUCCACAAUGGACGAAAGUCUGAUGGAGCAACGCCGCGUGAGUGAAGAAGGUUUUCGGAUCGUAAAACUCUGUUGUAAGGGAAGAACACGUACGAGAGUAACUGCUCGUACCUUGACGGUACCUUAUUAGAAAGCCACGGCUAACUACGUG
RNAcentral lists this ribosomal RNA (483 nucleotides) under uncultured bacterium. RNAcentral's name for it is "bacterial SSU rRNA". It matches the Rfam family "Bacterial small subunit ribosomal RNA", at positions 45 to 507 of the family's 1533-position model. The record is from RNAcentral.